RNAcentral lists this ribosomal RNA (308 nucleotides) under uncultured bacterium. RNAcentral describes it as "partial 16S ribosomal RNA". It matches the Rfam family "Bacterial small subunit ribosomal RNA", at positions 505 to 807 of the family's 1533-position model. The record is from RNAcentral.
GAGACAGCAGUAGCCGCGGUAAUACAGAGGGUGCGAGCGUUAAUCGGAUUUACUGGGCGUAAAGCGUGCGUAGGCGGCUUCUUAAGUCGGAUGUGAAAUCCCUGAGCUUAACUUAGGAAUUGCAUUCGAUACUGGGAAGAUAGAGUAUGGGAGAGGAUGGUAGAAUUCCAGGUGUAGCGGUGAAAUGCGUAGAGAUCUGGAGGAAUACCGAUGGCGAAGGCAGCCAUCUGGCCUAAUACUGACGCUGAGGUACGAAAGCAUGGGGAGCAAACAGGAUUAGAUACCCGCGUAGUCCCUGUCUCUUAUAC